UGGGGAAUAUUGCACAAUGGGCGCAAGCCUGAUGCAGCCAUGCCGCAUGUAUGAAGAAGGCCUUCGGGUUGUAAAGUACUUUCAGCGAGGCGGAAGGCGGUAAGGUUAAUAACCUUAUCGAUUGACGUUACUCGCAGAAGAAGCACCGGCUAACUCCGUGCCAGCAGCCGCGGUAAUACGGAGGGUGCAAGCGUUAAUCGGAAUUACUGGGCGUAAAGCGCACGCAGGCGGUCUGUCAAGUCGGAUGUGAAAUCCCCGGGCUCAACCUGGGAACUGCAUUCGAAACUGGCAGGCUAGAGUCUUGUAGAGGGGGGUAGAAUUCCAGGUGUAGCGGUGAAAUGCGUAGAGAUCUGGAGGAAUACCGGUGGCGAAGGCGGCCCCCUGGACAAAGACUGACGCUCAGGUGCGAAAGCGUGGGGAGCAAACA
This 427-nucleotide ribosomal RNA is filed under the name uncultured bacterium. RNAcentral describes it as "partial 16S ribosomal RNA". It matches the Rfam family "Bacterial small subunit ribosomal RNA", at positions 355 to 774 of the family's 1533-position model. The record is from RNAcentral.